UCUUACAACCCCAUCCAAUUAAAAUAAAUAACACAGAUUACAAGUAAGCAGAGCAAGGCCUACCAAACCACCAACCAUAAUGGUCAUAGAGCAUCAUCACCCAUACCCAAAUUGAAACAAAGUCCAAACUCCAAGCCAAGCCCCAGCAGGGACUAUUUACAAUGGCAGAAAGCAUGAUCCACCCAUCCCCCGUGUGUCAACAAGGACCUCGGGUCGUAAAGCACUUAAAAUUGGGAGGAAGGGCUUACAGCGAAUCCCUGUGAGUUUUGACGUUACCGACAGAAUAAGCACAGGCUAAAUUCGUGCCAGCAGCCGCGGUAAUACGAAGGGUGCAAGCGUUAAUCGGAAUUACUGGGCGUAAAGCGCGCGUAGGUGGCUUGAUAAGUUGGAUGUGAAAUCCCCGGGCUCAACCUGGGAACUGCAUCCAAAACUGUCUGGCUAGAGUGCGGUAGAGGGUAGUGGAAUUUCCAGUGUAGCGGUGAAAUGCGUAGAUAUUGGAAGGAACACCAGUGGCGAAGGCGACUACCUGGACUGACACUGACACUGAGGUGCGAAAGCGUGGGGAGCAAACAGG
This 574-nucleotide ribosomal RNA is filed under the name uncultured Acidimicrobiales bacterium. RNAcentral describes it as "bacterial SSU rRNA". It matches the Rfam family "Bacterial small subunit ribosomal RNA", at positions 161 to 776 of the family's 1533-position model. The record is from RNAcentral. Lineage: Bacteria; Bacillati; Actinomycetota; Acidimicrobiia; Acidimicrobiales.